RNAcentral lists this ribosomal RNA (440 nucleotides) under uncultured bacterium. RNAcentral's name for it is "partial 16S ribosomal RNA". It matches the Rfam family "Bacterial small subunit ribosomal RNA", at positions 338 to 795 of the family's 1533-position model. The record is from RNAcentral.
CCUACGGGUGGCAGCAGUGGGGAAUAUUGCACAAUGGGGGAAACCCUGAUGCAGCGACGCCGCGUGAGUGAAGAAGUAAUUCGUUAUGUAAAGCUCUAUCAGCAGGGAAGAAAAUGACGGUACCUGAGUAAGAAGCCCCGGCUAACUACGUGCCAGCAGCCGCGGUAAUACGUAGGGGGCACGCGUUAUCCGGAUUGACGGGGUGGAAAGGGAGCGUAGACGGCAGUGCAAGUCUGGAGGGAAAGGCGGGGGCUCAACCCCCGGACUGCUCUGGAAACUGUACGGCUGGAGUGCAGGAGAGGUAAGUGGAAUGCCUAGUGUAGCGGUGAAAUGCGUAGAUAUUAGGAGGAACACCAGUGGCGAAGGCGGCUUACUGGACUGUAACUGACGUUGAGGCUCGAAAGCGUGGGGAGCAAACAGGAUUAGAUACCCGAGUAGUC